Molecule: ribosomal RNA, 301 nt
Filed under: uncultured bacterium
Lineage: Bacteria
Description: partial 16S ribosomal RNA
Rfam family: Bacterial small subunit ribosomal RNA
Source: RNAcentral
CAGUAGCCGCGGGAAUACGAAGGGGGCUAGCGUUGCUCGGAAUCACUGGGCGUAAAGGGUGCGUAGGCGGGUCUUUAAGUCAGAGGUGGAAUCCUGGAGCUCAACUCCAGAACUGCCUUUGAUACUGAGGAUCUUGAGUUCGGGAGAGGUGAGUGAAACUGCGAGUGUAGAGAUGAAAUUCGUAGAUAUUCGCAAGAACACCAGUGGCGAAGGCGGCUCACUGGCCCGAUACUGACGCUGAGGCACGAAAGCGUGGGGAGCAAACAGGAUUAGAUACCCCGGUAGUCCCUGUCUCUUAUAC